This is a non-coding RNA of Acanthosepion pharaonis, 113 nucleotides long. Lineage: Eukaryota; Metazoa; Mollusca; Cephalopoda; Sepiida; Sepiidae. The record is from the annotation of a GenBank genome assembly.
UACGGCCAUAUAGCAUUGAAAUAUUGGUUCCCAUAUGAUCACCAAUGUUAAGCAACAUUGAGCCUGGUCACUACAUAGGUAGGUGACCACUUGAGAAUACCAAGUGAUGUAAG